AAAAGGUGGCUAUGCUACCGCUUUUGGAUGGGCCCGCGGCGCAUUAGCUAGUUGGUGGGGUAAAGGCUUACCAAGGCAAUGAUGCGUAGCCGAACUGAGAGGUUGAUCGGCCACAUUGGGACUGAGACACGGCCCAAACUCCUACGGGAGGCAGCAGUAGGGAAUCUUCCACAAUGGGCGAAAGCCUGAUGGAGCAACGCCGCGUGGGUGAAGAAGGUCUUCGGAUCGUAAAACCCUGUUGUUAGAGAAGAAAGUGCGUGAGAGUAACUGUUCACGUUUCGACGGUAUCUAACCAGAAAGCCACGGCUAACUACGUGCCAGCAGCCGCGGUAAUACGUAGGUGGCAAGCGUUAUCCGGAUUUAUUGGGCGUAAAGGGAACGCAGGCGGUCUUUUAAGUCUGAUGUGAAAGCCUUCGGCUUAACCGGAGUAGUGCAUUGGAAACUGGGAGACUUGAGUGCAGAAGAGGAGAGUGGAACUCCAUGUGUAGCGGUGAAAUGCGUAGAUAUAUGGAAGAACACCAGUGGCGAAAGCGGCUCUCUGGUCUGUAACUGACGCUGAGGUUCGAAAGCGUGGGUAGCAAACAGGCUUAGAUACCCUGGUAGUCCACGCCGUAAACGAUGAAUGCUAAGUGUUGGAGGGUUUCCGCCCUUCA
RNAcentral lists this ribosomal RNA (653 nucleotides) under uncultured bacterium. RNAcentral describes it as "bacterial SSU rRNA". It matches the Rfam family "Bacterial small subunit ribosomal RNA", at positions 202 to 842 of the family's 1533-position model. The record is from RNAcentral.